AUUGAACGCUGGCGGCAUGGUUUACACAUGCAAGUCGAACGGCAGCGGGGAGGAGCUUGCUUCUCUGCCGGCGAGUGGCGAACGGGUGAGUAAUACAUCGGAACGUGUCGAGAAGAGGGGGAUAACCACCCGAAAGGGUGGCUAAUACCGCAUAAAUUCUGAGGAAGAAAGCUGGGGACCUAGGAAUAGGCCUAGCGCUUUUUGAGCGGCCGAUGUCGGAUUAGCUAGUUGGUGAGGUAAAGGCUCACCAAGGCGAAGAUCUGUAGCGGGUCUGAGAGGAUGAUCCGCCACACUGGGACUGAGACACGGCCCAGACUCCUACGGGAGGCAGCAGUGGGGAAUUUUGGACAAUGGGGGCAACCCUGAUCCAGCCAUGCCGCGUGUAUGAAGAAGGCCUUAGGGUUGUAAAGUACUUUUGUUAGGGAAGAAAAGUCAGCUGUGAAUAAUGGCUGAUACUGACGGUACCUAAAGAAUAAGCACCGGCUAACUACGUG
This 494-nucleotide ribosomal RNA is filed under the name uncultured bacterium. RNAcentral's name for it is "partial 16S ribosomal RNA". It matches the Rfam family "Bacterial small subunit ribosomal RNA", at positions 30 to 507 of the family's 1533-position model. The record is from RNAcentral.